UGUUCUUUAAAUGGGGACUUGUAUCAACGGCAUCACGAGGGUUAUACUGUCUCCUCUCUCCAAUCAGUGAAACUGAUCCCCCCGUGAAGAAGCGGGGAUUUUACUAUAAGACGAGAAGACCCCAUGGAGCUUUAAACUCGACAUACACUAAGGUAUUAAAACACCAAUUUAACCCAAAAACCUGUACGUCAGUUUUAGGCUGGGGGGGCCACGGAGUAAAACUAAACCUCCACAACAAAUGGGCUAACACCCUAAUCUAAGAUUUAUAAAUCUAAGAAUCACCAAAAUGAUGUUUAAUGACCCGAUAAUUCGAUCAAUGAACCAAGUUACCCUGGGGAUAACAGCGCAAUCUACUUCAAGAGCCCUUAUCGACAAGUGGGUUUACGACCUCGAUGUUGGAUCAGGGUAUCCUAGUGGUGCAACCGCUA
RNAcentral lists this ribosomal RNA (428 nucleotides) under Odorrana schmackeri (piebald odorous frog). Its description in RNAcentral is "partial 16S rRNA". It matches the Rfam family "Bacterial large subunit ribosomal RNA", at positions 1970 to 2564 of the family's 2925-position model. Lineage: Eukaryota; Metazoa; Chordata; Amphibia; Anura; Ranidae. The record is from RNAcentral.